Molecule: ribosomal RNA, 612 nt
Filed under: uncultured bacterium
Lineage: Bacteria
Description: bacterial SSU rRNA
Rfam family: Bacterial small subunit ribosomal RNA
Source: RNAcentral
GUCGAACGAUUAACCCACCUUCGGGUGGUCAUAGAGUGGCGAACGGGUGAGUAACACGUGACCAACCUGCCUCAUGCAUCGGGAUAACUGCUGGAAACGGCAGCUAAUACCGGAUACUCUUGCAACUUCGCAUGGAGAUGCAAGGAAAGCUUUUGCGGCAUGAGAUGGGGUCGCGGCCCAUUAGGUAGACGGUGAGGUAGUGGCUCACCGUGCCUGCGAUGGGUAGCCGGACUGAGAGGUCGAUCGGCCACAUUGGGACUGAGAUACGGCCCAGACUCCUACGGGAGGCAGCAGUGGGGAAUAUUGCGCAAUGGGGGAAACCCUGACGCAGCAACGCCGCGUGCGGGAUGAAGGCUUUCGGGUUGUAAACCGCUUUCAGCAGGGAAGAUAAUGACGGUACCUGCAGAAGAAGCCCCGGCUAACUACGUGCCAGCAGCCGCGGUAAUACGUAGGGGGCAAGCGUUAUCCGGAUUCAUUGGGCGUAAAGCGCGCGCAGGCGGGCCGCUAAGCGGGACCUCUAAUCUUGGGGCUCAACCUUAAGCCGGGUCCCGAACUGGCAGCCUCGAGUGCGGUAGGGGUAAGCGGAAUUCCCGGUGUAGCGGUGGAAUGCGC